GUGGGGAAUCUUAGACAAUGGGCGCAAGCCUGAUCUAGCCAUGCCGCGUGAGCGAUGAAGGCCUUAGGGUUGUAAAGCUCUUUCAGCUGGGAAGAUAAUGACGGUACCAGCAGAAGAAGCCCCGGCUAACUCCGUGCCAGCAGCCGCGGUAAUACGGAGGGGGCUAGCGUUGUUCGGAAUUACUGGGCGUAAAGCGCACGUAGGCGGAUCAGAAAGUCAGAGGUGAAAUCCCAGGGCUCCACCUUGGAACUGCCUUUGAAACUCCUGAUCUUGAAGUAGAGAGAGGUGAGUGGAAUUCCGAGUGUAGAGGUGAAAUUCGUAGAUAUUCGGAGGAACACCAGUGGCGAAGGCGGCUCACUGGCUCGAUACUGACGCUGAGGUGCGAAAGCGUGGGGAGCAAACAGGAUUAGAUACCCGGGUAGUCC
This 425-nucleotide ribosomal RNA is filed under the name uncultured bacterium. RNAcentral describes it as "partial 16S ribosomal RNA". It matches the Rfam family "Bacterial small subunit ribosomal RNA", at positions 354 to 796 of the family's 1533-position model. The record is from RNAcentral.